This 435-nucleotide ribosomal RNA is filed under the name uncultured bacterium. RNAcentral's name for it is "bacterial SSU rRNA". It matches the Rfam family "Bacterial small subunit ribosomal RNA", at positions 330 to 780 of the family's 1533-position model. The record is from RNAcentral.
ACCAGACUCCUACGGGAGGCAGCAGUGGGGAAUAUUGGGCAAUGGGCGCAAGCCUGACCCAGCAACGCCGCGUGAAGGAAGAAGGCUUUCGGGUUGUAAACUUCUUUUGACAGGGAAGAGCAGAAGACGGUACCUGUCGAAUAAGCCACGGCUAACUACGUGCCAGCAGCCGCGGUAAUACGUAGGUGGCAAGCGUUAUCCGGAUUUACUGGGGGUAAAGGGCGUGUAGGCGGGAAAGCAAGUCAGAUGUGAAAAGCAUGGGCUCAACCUGUGGCCUGCAUUUGAAACUGGUUUUCUUGAGUACUGGAGAGGCAGACGGAAUUCCUAGUGGAGCGGUGAAAUGCGUAGAUAUUAGGAGGAACACCAGUGGCGAAGGCGGUCUGCUGGACUGUAACUGACGUUGAGGCUCGAAAGCGUGGGGAGCAAACAGGAUUA